Molecule: ribosomal RNA, 429 nt
Filed under: Bacteroidota bacterium
Lineage: Bacteria; Pseudomonadati; Bacteroidota
Description: Bacteroidetes bacterium partial 16S ribosomal RNA
Rfam family: Bacterial small subunit ribosomal RNA
Source: RNAcentral
UAGGGAAUCUUCCGCAAUGGACGCAAGUCUGACGGAGCAACGCCGCGUGAGUGAAGAAGGAUUUCGGUUCGUAAAACUCUGUUGUUAGAGAAGAACAGCGCAUAGAGUAACUGUUAUGCGUGUGACGGUAUCUAACCAGAAAGCCACGGCUAACUACGUGCCAGCAGCCGCGGUAAUACGUAGGUGGCAAGCGUUGUCCGGAUUUAUUGGGCGUAAAGCGAGCGCAGGCGGUCAAUUAAGUCUGAUGUGAAAGCCCCCGGCUCAACCGGGGAGGGUCAUUGGAAACUGGUUGACUUGAGUGCAGAAGAGGAGAGUGGAAUUCCAUGUGUAGCGGUGAAAUGCGUAGAGAUAUGGAGGAACACCAGUGGCGAAGGCGACUUUCUGGUCUGUAACUGACGCUGAUGUGCGAAAGCGUGGGGAUCAAACAGG